GUACAGUGCAAUACCGUCGACAUUCAUUUAGCAAGAGUGAUAAUCAUGUUUAAAAAUAAUGUGGUGUGCAUACUGGGAAGCCAUAUGAGUGAGAGUCCUGGCAGCAAGCACACUGUCAGGAAUCUUAACUGCGAUGCCAGACGGGACUGUGAUAGAAAACAUAUAACUAUGUUCUAUGCCAGCCCCCUCCUCACAGUUUACAUUGGGCAGCAAGCUUUGAACCAGCGGUACAUGCGCU
This is a non-coding RNA of Pelobates cultripes (western spadefoot toad), 238 nucleotides long. NCBI's taxonomy places the organism in Eukaryota, Metazoa, Chordata, Amphibia, Anura, Pelobatidae. The record is from the annotation of a GenBank genome assembly.